GACGGAGGAUGCAAGCGUUAUCCGGAAUUAUUGGGCGUAAAGCGUCCGCAGGUGGCCUAUCAAGUCUGCUGUCAAAGACCGGGGCUUAACCCCAGAAAGGCAGUGGAAACUGAAAGGCUAGAGGAUGGUAGGGGCAGAGGGAAUUCCCAGUGUAGCGGUGAAAUGCGUAGAGAUUGGGAAGAACACCGGUGGCGAAAGCGCUCUGCUGGGCCAUAACUGACACUGAGGGACGAAAGCUAGGGGAGCGAAUGGG
This 253-nucleotide ribosomal RNA is filed under the name uncultured bacterium. RNAcentral's name for it is "partial 16S ribosomal RNA". It matches the Rfam family "Bacterial small subunit ribosomal RNA", at positions 524 to 776 of the family's 1533-position model. The record is from RNAcentral.